RNAcentral lists this ribosomal RNA (491 nucleotides) under uncultured bacterium. Its description in RNAcentral is "partial 16S ribosomal RNA". It matches the Rfam family "Bacterial small subunit ribosomal RNA", at positions 29 to 507 of the family's 1533-position model. The record is from RNAcentral.
GUGAACGCUGGCGGUAGGCCUAACACCUGCAAGUCGAACGGCAGCACAGUAAGAGCUUGCUCUUACGGGUGGCGAGUGGCGGACGGGUGAGGAAUACAUCGGAAUCUACUUUUUCGUGGGGGAUAACGUAGGGAAACUUACGCUAAUACCGCAUACGACCUACGGGUGAAAGCAGGGGAUCUUCGGACCUUGCGCGAUUGAAUGAGCCGAUGUCGGAUUAGCUAGUUGGCGGGGUAAAGGCCCACCAAGGCGACGAUCCGUAGCUGGUCUGAGAGGAUGAUCAGCCACACUGGAACUGAGACACGGUCCAGACUCCUACGGGAGGCAGCAGUGGGGAAUAUUGGGCAAUGGGCGCAAGCCUGAUCCAGCCAUACCGCGUGGGUGAAGAAGGCCUUCGGGUUGUAAAGCCCUUUUGUUGGGAAAGAAAAGCAGCAGGUUAAUACCCCGCUGUUCUGACGGUACCCAAAGAAUAAGCACCGGCUAACUUCGUG